GUAAUCUUAUUGUAUGCAAGCAUAAAGCUCAGAUUGUGAGUAUGCAUCUCGUUGAUUUCGUAUGUGACAUUACAUGAGUGUGCAAAAUUAAAGUUUGAUGGGAAGCUGGUCGGUUGUUUGUAUGUAAUACUAAUAUUAGAUCACCAUGUGGAAUUAGUUAACCUAGUGUACAAAUAUAUAUAGCCGUGGUCGUUUUUAUGGUGAGACUGCUGGCCACUAUGCAUAAGCUGGCUGGUUGCUCGUACAUUAUGUUAGACCGUAAACAUAAUUGAAGGAUGACGAUGCUGUUUGUAGUAAGCAGGCAGGACCAUUCCAUUAUAUCAGAUCACCACGUAGAACUAAAGUUCAGAUAUGGAGUUGGAAGGCCAUUCAUCUCUAUCAAGACAAUAUGUUGUUAAUAUGUUACAUUAGAGUCUUUUAGUUUUGCUUUUACCUAUAUCCUUUCAGAUCAUGAUUGAUUAAUUGUAUGUGCAUGACAUAGUUAUUAUUAUACAAAUAGAUAAAUAGAUAACCGGGUCAGCUACACACUUCAGUAAGCAUUAAGAUGUACUAUGUCACAAAUACUAACCCUGCUAUGGGAGAUCCAUCUGGUUGCGAGUGUUCAAAUAACGCUGCUCAUUUACACAUGUGUAUGCGUUCCAACAGAAGUUUAGUUAGUUUUGUGAUUUAUCUUCCUUCUCUGUUAGUCAUUAGUUGUGUGUUAAGAGGCAUGCACACUCACGCUCAGGGGGGUACUUGUGUGUGGUGGUUUGUAUGCGUGAACGACUCGCCCUCUUGCAAUCAGAUAGGAAACGGGUAAUAACCUUGCUAUGAAUUGGGUAAGGGGUACACAAGCGUAAAUAGGAUUUGGUAUCUCUUUUUGGUACGUUAUGUUGUGAUAAAAUAAUUUGUUCAUUCUUGAUUCUAUGGGGAAAAUAUACUAUGUACCAACAGAAUUAACGUACAGCAUACACAACUAGUAGAUACAUCUGCUUGGUUUUUGUGCAGGCUCAAUUGGAGGGGGCAAUUUCAUGGAGAUAAUAAUUAAAUUUCUACUAAAAAAUAUUCCCUCCGAUCCAUAUUAAUUGUCUCAAAUUUGCCCAAAUAUGUAUGUAUCUAUGCCUAAAAAGCGUCUAGAUACAUGUAACAUUUCGACAAUUAAUAUGGAUCGGAGGGAGUACCACUCUAGAAAUUGCAAUUAAUAAUAGACUACCCAAAAAUUAUAUUUACGGAUAGAAUUACUUACAGAUUUAGUACAUACUACCUGUUUGCUUUAUUUUCUGGCAAAAAGCUGCAUGUUUGUUUUCGUGUGCUUGUGAUCUUCCGAAGAUCUUUUUUUUUCCUUUUCCAUGCGUAUGCAUGUGCAUGUGAAUUCUUGAUCUGAUUUAUUCAUCAUCCAUGCAUGCAUGUAUUAUUUAGAGGGAGAGAGGCGUCGGAGAGGAGUACGUGUCUCGGUUGCUGGCUAUUGCACAGCUAGUGCUGGAAAAGCUGUUCUCAAAUCUAUUCCAAAUAAGCUGCCUCGAGUUUCCGAUUUGUGAACCAAAGAAUGACAGAGAAAUCUGGAUGGUGUACUCACAUAUUCAUUAUGAAGAUUCAUGCUGGUGGUGAUCCAUUAAUAAUAGAGGUCAGUCAGAUCAAUGACUGGAUGGUUGUUAAGUAUGGUUAUGAAGAUCUAGGGGGACAAGGGGUUAUGAACUUAUGAUUCAUUGAUAAUAAAAGGCCCAACAAAUCAACGGCAGAUGAUUUGCUUUUUUGUGGGAUUUUCUAGCAUGCCUAUCUUUCUUUGGUUAACCUGUCACGUAGUUUUAGUAUAUAAUAGAUUUGUUGAAACUGCACUCUUUGGGGUCCCUUAUGAGUUGUAUUUUGACUGCAAACAUUUAGGAAGUUCUAUGAUCGAGGAAACCACAAAAGAGAAUAACCAUGAUACCCUUUUAUGAAGUGACCUGGAAAGAUAAGAAAUGAUCUCUGUGUAGGUAAUAGUCAUACAUGCAUGCAAAGAUGGACUAACAUUAAAUUUACAUGCAUACUUCUUAUUUUGGGGUAAACUGACAAUUAUUGGGUCUUUUAGAAAAACAGAGGGUGUACUAAUUCUCCUCAAACUUGGCCUAGGGUUGUGAAAAUGAAGCUUUAAUAUUUGCCCGAAUCGGACAUUUAAGCCUAUCAUGGAGCGGGAUAAAUCAAUUUGACUCAUAUCGUAUUAACGUCCUGAUGUGUUAGCUGCUUUUAUAUCCACCUCAGGUAUAGGAAGAAUAUAUACUUGUGUUUCCAUUGGCAAUUUGGCAUCAUCUAUAAUGUUUAUUUAGCAUGAUUCACAAUUGGUCUUUGUUUCUCUUAGCUUUUACGUAUAUCCUUUCUUCGUAUUACUCACAUGGCCUUUUAGUUUUGCUUAGUGAAUAGUGAAUCAUUAUUGGAAGAUAUGUAAAUUUACAUGAUAGAUCGUUUCAUAUUUGUUGAGCUUAUGUUUAUAUCGUGUGUGUUAUUCAUGUGAUGCUUCUGACAGCAUGGAAACUUUUAGCUAUAUAUUGUAAGCUACUCUUGGAUAGAGGUUCCCUUGGAUUAUUAAUGGAAAUUUGGAACAAUUUUAUCUUUCUAGAAAGUUGCCCAGGACAUAUAAAAAACAACUUAAUCUUGGGUACAAUAGUACUUAUUGAAUAUUUCUUAUCUUAAGUUCUUAACUCAGAUGGAAAAGUGAUGCUAAGCCUGCUCUCUGUCUUGUGUUAAUGUUCAGCUCCAUUGCAUGGAUUUGCAUUUUGGUUUGAUGUCGAGUUUAACGGGCCAGUUCGCCAAAAAACUAAGAAGCAAGCAAGCCAACCCUCGGAUGGGAACAUGCAAAAUGCCAGCCCAAGCAGUAAAAAGAAAAAACCAGAUGUCUCGAUUGUUCUGUCAACUGCCCCAGAGGAUGCACCUACUCACUGGCAGCAGGUGAUUGCUUUAAACAUCGCCUCAUUGGUCCCCGUUUCUUUUCUGCCCAUAUGGUUAGUUUGAAAUUCCUUCAAAAUUGCAUUUUGCUGAUACCCACAAGAAUAUUGUCUUUUUUAUGCAGACACUAUUGUAUUUGUUUGAACCUAUCGGGCUAAAGAAGGACCAGAUAAUUGAAGGUUCUGUUACCAUAUCUCAGAGCCAGCAACAUUCUCGUUUCCUCAACAUCUCUCUGAAAUAUUUGUGAGUCUGUUUCCUCUGGUGCUAUCCAGUUUUCGCAUUUCUUACUGCCGCCUUCAAGUUUGAUAUCUCUGAAUCCCUCAUGCCUUUGCAGUACUGGAGAUCAAUGGUAUGUUAAAGAAUCUGUGAUGCGAUAACAUGGGUAACUUGAACAGAGUAAUGCUUUCUGGAUAGGUGGAAAUGCAUCAUGAACCUCAUUGAUUAUUGCAAUUUUGGAGCAUUCUGACUGGAGCAGGAUAUCAUGAUGGCAAAUAGAUCAACAUGUGCUAUCAUUUUGUAUGCUGGAAAUUUUGUUGGAAACAGAUCAAUCCUCCAGCAUUCCAACAAUAUUCCUUUACUCCAAAGCAGGUCUUAGAUUUUCAUUAUCUGCAGUACGACUUGAAUAGGUCUGUAGCCUAAUGAUUAGUGUAUCCACAAUUGAUGAAGAAUGGAUUGGGGGAACUUUGAUAAUUACAAGUAUCAUCUUAACUCAUCCAUCAGCCGCUUCUUUUACACUAGAGAGCUAUGUAGGUUAUUUCCAUUGUUUUUAAGAACUACCUGCCAGUACAAAAUCCAUCCGGCCCUUGAGAAGUUGUAAUAAUAGUGUGUAUGCUAAAUCAUCAUUUCUGACAGUAUCAGAAAAUUAUCAAAGAAAAAUCAAGUUAUAUAAACUUGACUUCAAAAUCGUUCCUCAACUAUUGCAUGUUACUCAUUUCUGUCUAUAAAGUACCAAAUUGGUGGAGCUCAUGCCUGACUUUAUUUGGCUCAUAUUUCUGCUUCUCCCCAAGUUGUGGUAUUCGUUGCAUACCAAGGAGGAGUUGAGGAAACCACAGUGAAAGGUGUUACAACCUUUAGUGUGAUGUUACGCCUUUCCAAUUUUGUUCUAGAUUGGAUCAUAGAAGCCCUACCCUGAGCCAUUUGUUGGCUCAUGUGAAGCACGUAUGAGUCCUGUCCUUCCGUGGGAGUGCAGGGGCGUGCUUCUGGUUCAAGAUGGCAUAGAGGACAUCGACGUCCCGUGUGAGACGCAGUUACCGCUGGUCGAGUCUAUGGCCGUCGUGGGCAGCUCCGGCAGCAAGGAGGACGCGACAGAGGUUGUCUUCUUCCCGUUCGUGGAGGGAGGGCGCGUUCCGGGCCAGCCACCAUGGUGGCAUGGCCGCAUGGGCGACAAUUAAGCUCGAGAUCUGCACUGAGACUUGAGAGCUGCGAUGCUGUCAUGAGGUUCAUGUCGUUCUGAGUGCAAAAUUAGAGAUUAACAUUGAUUUCGCGGCGAGACUUCCUUGCCACUAUUGCGCCACUAUAGCGGUCAAAUCACGCGCUAUUUAUUUCUAUGAGUAAAUACGGUGACGGUUGAAGAUUCAAUAUAUAUCACACAAAAAGCGCUAUUUAUUUCUAUGAGUAAAUACGGUGACGGUUGAAGAUUCAAUAUAUAUCUUGGUGAUAUAUAGACGUGCCAUGUGGGCCUGACCAGUUGGUAAAUAUGGAAUCUCACUAAAGGGGAUAAUGUUUUUGAAGUUUUUACAAAUAAAAUAUAAAAAAUGUAAUUCACUCAAAACAAAAAUAAAGAGAUUUCACAAAAGAAAGAAAGAAAAAUUAUCCAAAGUUAUAUCGCUCAAGCAAAAAAGCUCGGUAACGACUAUCAGUACACAUCACUUCGUCAGCGGAGGGCAGCCGCUUCUUCGCAUGCAUUAAGCUCCUCAUGAUUCAGAGCUGAUUAAGAAAGAAAAUUCCUCACGUAUAUCAGUACAUGAACACCAGGGCAACUCCAAAUCAUGAACACCACAGCCGGACCAGCAAGAAAAGUAGGCAACGGCCAGAGGCUCUAUGAACCGCGUGAAUUGCUUGCCGGCUGCGUCUUAUAUCACCGGCCAGGCCGUAUGACGGUGUGAGACGUCUCCGAGUCCGAUCGGGAGUCGGGACACAACGCGGCAGGUAGUCUCGAUAUAUACGCAAAGCAUAUCACCCGGGCUCCUCCCAUCCCUCCCAUCUCUCGAUCGAUCGUCGCCAACAAACAACAAUGUCGGCGGGAUCGCAGGAGCACGAGUCGGCUUGCGUGACCCACGCGGUCUCCUGGAUGACGCUGUGCGAGACCAGGGAGGCCCCGCUAGCGCCGUGGGAACCCGAUGUCCUCGCGGUGAGAAUCCGGUGCUCCGCGAACAUCCGCUGCGUGUCCCGCUUCCCCGGAGGAAGCUUCCUGCGAGCCGCCGUUACCCACAAGGAGGUCCUCGUGGACCUGUUCGAUCCCGAGGACCUCCGGAGCGAGUCCGCCUGCCGCACCGCCGUCCGCCGGGUGCUGAGGACGCUGCUGGAACGCGCGGAGUACUAUGGCUACCGCGCCGCCGACGGCGGGGACGCCUUGGUGCCGCCCGGCCUCGUUGACACAAUCCUCGCUGUCGCCGCUGCUGUUGCUGACACCCGCGACGGCGCCGAUCUCCGGAACAUCAGCUACCGCUGCGACGUCUCGAUGGAAGUGGACAUGAAGAACGUGUACAGCGAGGCGAAGGCCAUCGUGCUGUUGUGCAGCGGCGCCGCAGGGCCAAGACGACGUGAUGUCGGCGGGGAGCUGUGCCCGAUCUGCAUGGAGAAACUGGCGCCGGACGAUGCCAUGAGUUUGCCUGGAUGUUCGCACGUGUUCCACAGAGGGUGCAUCCUCGAGUGGUUACACAGGGCACCCACCUGCCUGUCCUGCCGCCAUGACAUGACGCAGCAUCUCCCUCACCAAUGUCGUGCAUGCGAUAAGUGGGAGCCUUGGGUCGACUCCCUAGGGGCAGCCGUAUAGGAUUUGUUUCCCACUGGUGGUACACACUUUUUGCAUGUCUCUGUACCUAUUGCGAUUAAACAAAGAGUAUAAUUACUAGUAGCAGAUUCUUUUGCUAUCCAUAGCUAUGCUUGAUUGGAUUAAGGAGGUUAAUUUCGCGUUAGGUAUAGCUCAAUCCCGAUUUAGUUAAGUUGUUUCAUAACUACAAAUAAAUUGCAGUAACAAGUGAGUACUAGGAUGUGUUGACUUGUGACCUUUUUUGUGACCGCGACGGAAAUGGCCAUAAAUAUCUAUGACAAUUUAAAACCAAAUGGUCAUACCUACGGUACAAAAUCCAUCCGGCCCUCGAGAAGUUGUAAUAAUAGUGUGUAUGCUAGAUCAUCAUUUCUGACAGUAUCAGAAAAUUAUCAAAGAAAAAUCAAGUUAUAUAAACUUGACUUCAAAACCGUUCCUCCACUAUUGCAUGUUACUCAUUUUUGUCCAUAAACUACCAAAUUGGCGGAGCUCAUGCCUGACUUUAUGUGGCUCAUAUUUCUGCUUUUCCCAAAGUUCUGGUAUUCGUGGCAUACCAAGGAGGAGUUGAGGAAACCACAGUCAAAAGGUGUUACAAUCAUAGUGUGAUGUUACGCCUUUCCAAUUUUGUUCUCGAUUGGAUCAUAGAGCCCCAAAUUGAUUGGGUGCACGUGCGCAAAGAACACGUGAGCCCGGAGCGCCACCGACUUAAUUGGGGGCCGGCCGGCUGCGCGGGCGCGUCGUUGGCAUUCCUCCAUUGGAGGCUGAGUCCCAGCUUGAUCAAUAUCUCCUCCAUUGGGGACGGUGGGCUCAUCGCGUACCCGCGCGGCUGGCCUCAAGUGUGGGAUGAACCAGCUGAAGUGCUGAACGCGCAGCCUCGCCGUCGAGUGGGCGUGGCACGCGCACGAAUUUAAAAAGAAGAGGAAAUAACCCUUUGCCGGCGGCCCCGAGAAAAGGUUGCCGGCAAAGGCCAUUUUUUUUUCCCAAAUUCCCCCGUUCGAAUCGAACCCGAAAAAAAAAUAACCCUUUGCUGGCGGCCCCUUCGGCAAAGGCCAUUUUUUUUCCCAAAUGUCCCCUGUUCGAAUUGAACCGAAGGAAAAAAAAUGAAAUUAACCCUUUAAAUAGCCGCUAGCAAAGGUGGCUUUGCCGGGACGCCCACAUAAUAGCCGCCGGCAAAAGCCUUUUUUUCCCCCUUUUUUGUUUGUUUGUGAUGUAAAUCAACCAUAUUGUAAACACAUAGAGUAAUAUAUAUUAUUGUUUAGAUUGAACCCGAUUUGCACUUAUAAAAUAAAUAAAACUAAUUACUCAUUGCCAGCGGCCGUGAGUUAAUUGGUUACGAUCAGUUCAUCGACGCAUGAAAUAACGAAACAUUAAAUGGUUUCUCGGCUUUCCCCUUGUGCAUGAUGUGCCAUGUAUAUGUAAAUGAAGGGUGUGUUAAUGGUAAAAUCAAAUCGAUAGCCCUGAUGUGACACUUCUUUGCAAACAAUACUAGCGAAUGGGCAUGAAUGUUCCACACUUGAGGGCAAAAGUCUCAAUUCAGACCGACGGGACAUAAUUUAGUCAGUCCAUGGGGUAGAUGUUUGCUUUUUCAUGUUGACAUGUCGUAAUACAACACUAUGAUAUAGUAAAGUGACAUGGAAACCCAAGUUUUGGUGAAAAACUAGUAACAAAACACUAACGAACAUUCAACCCCAAGCCCGAGAGUGAGGAAAACACGUAAUUCAGACCGAGGGAGAAGAAUUCUGUGAGGGCUUGGGGUAGAUUUGUUGUUUUACAUGUGCCCAUGUGGCAAUAGAACACUACGUAAUAGCAAAACAUCAGGAAAACCAAUGUUUUGGUGAAAAGCUACCCCGUAGACGCCACGAGGCCCGCAGGAGGGGCGAUGCCUCAAAUCACAUGACGGAUGGUAUAGAGAACUUGAAAUCUUGGAUGAUGUCAUCAAAUGGGUACAUAGAGAUGGUGUUAAGAGGAAAACACAAUCCAAGCAUCUGAGGUUGCACUUCCUUCACAAACUAGACUAACCCGCACGAAUGUUCCGGACUUAGGGGGGAAAAGUCACAAUUGGACGGACGGAGCAGAAUCCUUUGAUGACUUGGGUAGCUUUUUGGUUUUUCAUGUCCCCAUGUGCUAGUACAACACAAACGUAGAGUAAAGUGACUUGAGAACACAAGUUUUGGUGAAAAGCUACCCAUAGACGCCACGAGGCCCACAGGAGGGGGCGAUGCCUCAAAUCACACGACGGAUGGUCUAGAGAACUUGGAAUCUUUGAUGGUGUCAUCAAAUGUGUACAUAAAGAUGGUGUUAAGAGGAAAACACAAUCCAAGUAUCUGAUGUUGCACUUCCUUCACAAACUAGACGAACCCGCAUGGAAGUUUCAGACUUAGGGGGGAAAGUCGCAAUUCGGACGGACGGAGUAGAAUUCUUUGGGGACUUGGGUAGCUUUUUGUUUUUUCAUGUCACUAUGUGGUAGUAGAACACAAUGGUAGAGUAAAGUGACUUGAGAACACAAGUUUUGGUGAAAAGCUACCCCGUAGACGCCACGAGGCCCGCAGGAGAGGGCGAUGCAUGCCUGAAAUCACACGACGAAUGGUACAGGGAACUUGAAAUCUUGGAUGAUGUCAUAAAAUGGGUACAUAAAGAUGGUGUUAAGUGGAAAACACAAUCCAAGUAUCUGAUGUUGCACUUCCUUCACAAACUAGACGAACCCACACGAACGUUCUCGAAUUAGAGGGGGAAAAGUCGCAAUUCGGACGGAGCCAGCCGAAUCUGUUGAGGACUUGGGUAGAUGUUUGCUUUUUCAAGUUGACAUGUCCUAAUAAAACACUAUGAUAUAGUAAAGUGACAUGGAAACCCAAGUUUUGAUGAAAAGCUAGUAACAAAACACUAAGGAACAUUCAAACCCAAGCCCUAGAGUGAGGAAAACACGCAUUUCGGACCGAGGGAGAAGAAUUCUGUGAGUGCUUGGGGUAGAUUUUUGUUUUACAUGUGCCCAUGUGGCAAUAGAAUACUAAGUAAUAGAAAAACAUCAGGAAAACAAAUGUUUUGGUGAAAAGCUACCCCGUAGACGCCAGGAGGCCCGCAGGAGGGGGCGAUGCCUCAAAUCACACGACGGAUGGCCUAGAGAACUUGAAAUCUUGGAUGAUGUCAUAAAAUGGGUACAUAGAGAUGGUGUUAAGAGAAAAACACAAUCCAAGAAUCUGAGGUUGCACUUCCUUCACAAACUAGACUAACCUGCACGAACGUUCCGGACUUAGGGGGGAAAAGUCGCAAUUCAGAAGGACGGAGCAUAAUUCUUUGAGGACUUGGGUAGCUUUUUGGUUUUUCAUGUCCCCAUGUGCUAGUACAACACAAAGGUAUAGAGUAAAGUGACUUGAGAACACAAGUUUUGGUGAAAAGCUAGCCCGGAGAAAACCGAAGGCCCGCAGGAGAGGGCGAUGCCUGAAAUGACACGACGAAUGAUCCAGAGAACUUGAAAUCUUGGAUGAUGUCAUCAAAUGGGUUCCUAAAGAUGGUGUUAAGAGGAAAACACAAUCCAAGUAUCUGAGGUUGCACUUCGUUCACAAACUAGACUAACCCGCACGGAAGUUCCGAACUUAGGGGGAAAAUUUCGCAAUUCGGACGGACGGAGCAGAAUUCUUUAUGAAAUUGGGUAGAUUUUUGUUUUUCAUGUUCAAAUGUCCUAAUAGAACAAAAAGGAAGUCUAAACUGACAGGAAAACCCCAAUGUUUUGUGAAUAAAUAAAGUAAAAAUUGGAAAAAAAAGUGAACCGAGCCUAGCUUAGGUGGUCUGGUUCCUUGUGGUGGAACCAGCUCACCCAGGUUCAAGUCCUAAACUUGACAUGUGUGUCACAUUUUCCUGGAUUAUUCCAGGAUUUAACCGGCGCUAUUCUUUCAGUGGUGGAUGACGUACCAGGUCCAGUCUUUCGGAGGUGCUGAUAGGGGUAGGGUGUGCGUGUAUGCGUUCAUAGGGGUGAGUGUACGCACGUGUUGUGAGUGUCUGUGUUUGUACUGUGUUUCUCAAAAAAAAACUAAAAAAAUGUAAAAAUUCUUUGCCGGCGGCUUUUUGUCGGGCCACCGGCAAAGAGGGCUAAAAAAAAACAAAAACCUCCGUCCCCCCUCUUUCUCUCUCUCUCUCUCUCUCUCUCUCUCUCUCUCGCGCCCGCGCCCGACCGCCGCCGUCGCCCCCCGGCCGAAUCCCCCCAGAUCCGGCCUCCCCCUCCCUCUCCCCGCCGGCCGCGCCUCCCUCCUCGCCGGUCCCCGCCACCCUCGCCUCCCCCCCUCCCCCGCCUCGACCUCGACCUCGACUACUUCGUCUACGGUGUAGCUUGGUGAGCAUCUCCCUCUAUCUCACCUUCCCCUUUUGCUCUGUCCCGGCCAUCGAGCCGAUGACACUUGUAGUUUAAAUGUCAAAGUCGCGUAACCCUAUGCGUCUCCCGUCUGAAAGGGUUACGUAUAUAAAUAUGCAAGUCUUUGCAUAUCUAUAAGUGUAACUCUUUCGGAUUGUCCACGUUUUUUGGACAGCCCGGGGGUGUGUAGAUUGGGUUCGUUUCCGUGCUCUAGUCUGGUCCGAGACGUGAUUUCGGCAGCAUCUCCCCGUUGUUCUCUGGAUGCACAUUCUCUUGGCUUGUUGUCGAGACGUGUAUUUGGAGAACAACGGGGAGGUGCUGCCGAAAUUUCGUCUCAGACCGGACUGGAGCACGGAAACGGCCCAAUCUACACACCGUCGGGUGGGAUUAGGACCUAUCUUUACCUAUUAGUGGAAUAGUUCAGUACAUGCCCUUUUCAGUGAACAAAUAAAAUAUGUGACGUAAUUAAUUUGACGAAACUAAUUACUUGUGUUGCUAGUUGUGUUAUUAAACCGUGUAUCCCUUUGGUGUCAUGUGGUAUCCGAAAAUAGCAGAGAAUGGUUGAUCGUCAGUGGAUGUAUAGUGGCCGCUGUAGUCGGACAGACCAGGAUGAUGAUUGGAUGAAAAACACGGCAGAUUUCUUAGAGGUUGCAUUUGCUAGAGGAGAAGAGCGUGCUUGGUGCCCUUGCAGUCAUUGCAAUAACAAGACACAAUACACGAAGGAUGAGAUGGACAAUCACUUGCUGUUGUACGGGUACACGCCAAACUAUACUCGAUGGGGCUACCAUGGUGAGCAAGAGGAUAGAGGAAGAGAGGAGGUCGUGCGAAGGCGCACGGACGACUAUGAUACGGGGUUCCAAGACAUGCUAGAUGACUUGGAUGAAGCACGCGUUCCAACGGAGGAAGAACUGGAGGGAACCUCUAAGGCCUAUCUUGAUAUGCUGGCGGAGGCAAGCACAGAUCUACAUGCUCACACAAAGGUCAAUAAGCUGGAUUCCGUUGCUAGAAUAAUGGCUGUGAAGACCGAGUUCAACUUGAGCAGAGAAUGGUUUGAUGUGAUGAUGGCAGUUAUCGGUAGUCUCCUCCCGAAAGGCCACCUUUUGCCUAAAAGCAUGUACGAGGCGAACAAAAUGCUUUGUGUACUUAAGUUGCCAGCUCAGUGCCUACAUUCAUGUAAAAAUGGAUGCACGGUGUUUGACAGAGAAUACGCGGAUGCCAAGCAUUGUCCCAAGUGCAAUUUCUCUAGGUAUGUCGAGGUAGACCACGGGAAGGAUCUGGUGCAGUCGAAAAUACCCCAUAAAGUUCUUAGGAUGCUUCCAUUCUUAGAAAGAAUUGGCCGGAUGAUGCUAUCCGACGUGCCUGGCAAAGCUGUGACACAUCACAAACUGGGGAAGAAAUACAAAUACAACAAGGAUCAUAGGCCGAUGUUGACACAUCCGUCGGAUGGCGAAGCAUGGAAGGAUUUUGAUCGGAAGUAUCCGGAGAAAGCCGCAGAGCUUCGGAAUGUUCUAGUUGCCAUUGCAACUGAUGGGUUCAAUCCAUUUGGCAUGACGAGUGCCCCAUACAGCUGCUGGCCAGUGUUUGUAAUUCCGCUCAAUCUCUCUCCCGGAAUGAUAAUGCAACGGAAGUACAUGUUCUUGGUGCUGAUAAUUCCAGGACUAGAAUAUCCAGGGAAGAACAUUAAUGUGUAUAUGCGACCCCUGAUGGAGGAGUUGAAAAGAGGUUGGGAGGAAGGGAUCAUGGUGUAUGACAAAGCUACAAAGACAAACUUUAGGAUGCAUAUCUGGUUCCAGUUCUCCAUUCAUGACCACCCGAGGGGAUCUAUACUCUCCGGCAAAGGCUUGCAGGGGAAGUUCAUGUGCCCACACUGCAGGACUGAUUUGGAGUUCUAUCGGCUCGUUCAUGGUCGCAAGUAUUGUUGCUUCGAUCUGCACAGGCGAUUCCUUCUGCCUAACCAUCCGUUCAGACAAGACAAGAAGAACUUCAGGAAAGGUGUGGUCGUCGAAGAGGGGCCACCCCGUUAUCACACCGGUUCUGAGCUUCUUGCUGAGCUGGAUGCUCUUGUGCCCGACCCGACACAACCUGACAAGUUCCUGGGGUAUGGUGAUACACACAACUGGACUCACAAGUCAUGCUUCUGGGAGCUCCCCUACUUCAAAGACAUUAUUCUUCCACAUUGUAUUGAUGUGAUGCACACCGAAAAGAAUGUCGCCGAAGCCCUUUUCAACACAAUUCUCAACAUUAUUGACAAUACGAAAGAUAAUCCGAAGGCUAGAAAAGAUCAAGAAGAACUUUGCGAUAGACCACAGCUAAGCAUUAAAAAGGUGCCAAGCAGGUCAGACAUCAGGCCAAAUGCCCUGUUUGCUCUCGACAUACACAAAAAGAUGGAAGUACUCCUGUGGUUCAAAGAGUUGAAGUUUCCUGAUGGGUAUGCAACUAAUCUAAAGAGGGGAGUUAAUCUUGGCACCAUGCGAAUCAACGGCCUCAAGAGUCAUGACUAUCACAUAUGGAUUGAGCGUUUGCUGCCGGUGAUGGUUCGAGGCUAUGUGUCAGAGGAUAUUUGGCGGGUGUUGGCAGAGUUGAUCACUUUCUUCCGUCGGCUUUGUGCUAAAGAACUAUCCCCCACCUUGCUAUAAGAAAUGGAAAAACAAGCCCCCGUGUUGCUAUGCAAGCUAGAGAGGAUCUUUCCGCCGGGCAUGUUCGUGACGAUGCAACAUCUAAUUAUCCACCUCCCGUACGAGGCACGGAUGUGGGGCCCCGUGCAGCAUCAUUGGAUGUAUGCCGUCGAGAGACUUAUGAAGACCCUUCGAGCUAAAGUAAAAAACAAAUCUAAAGUUGAAGCCGUCUCAAGGAAGUGUCAAAUGCAACGACGAGUUACUAUAGCUCCGAUAUUGCCACGCUGCAUAAUCCAAUCUCCCGCUACAAUCUUGGCAACCCUGAAGAUGAGUCCAAGUUGAGCCUAUUCAAAGGGCAACUUGGAACUUCUAAAGCCGAGAAAACAGUCACCUUGUCCUACCAAGAGUGGCGAUCCCUUACGUUAUAUAUCUUGAACAGCCUCAACGAAGUCCAGCCGUACAUCAAGUAAGUGCCCAGUAAAUAAUUCCUCUUUGCAAUUGAUCACAAGUUUAUCUCUAACUCAUCUUAUUCUCAUUGCGUCAGCACAUUCACUCAACUAAACUGGAAGCAAACAAGAAAACCCGAUCCACUAGAACAUGAUGCCCUUCUUAGAGAUGGUCCAAAUGGCCCCGGAUCCGGUUUCAUUGAGUGGUUCCAAAAUCAAGUACUUUCUUUCUUAGCUCCUAGUUGUUUCAACACCUAGAGGCCUUGCGUGCGACUAAUACAUGAUGCUUUUCUGCUUAAACCUGUAGGCUAACAACGAUGCGUCUAUGAGCUCCCAAUUGAGACAAAUUGCCAAUGGUUUUGAUGUCAAGGUUGGUUCAUUCAAAUCCUACGACGUCAAUGGAUAUCGAUUCCAUACAACAGGGUACGAGCUCAGUCGGCCCAAUCGAACCUCAACAAAUUCCGGGGUGUUCGUAGAAUGCGGUGGAGAUGACUUCUACGGAGGGUUGAGCAGAUAUACGAACUACAAUACCGCGGCCCCAAACCUCCAAAGGUCGUUGUAUUCAAAUGCCGUUGGAUCGAUCUGAAACACGUUAACAAGGAUGACACAAUUGGCCUAGUCGAAGUAAAACGAGACAGUGUCUUCGAAUGCGAGGAUGUAUAUAUUGUGGCUCAACAAGCUACACAAGUUUAUUUCCUCCCGUAGCCGUGCACUAAAGUGGCUCGCCUUCAGGGUUUGGAUGUCGUGUACCACGUGCAGCCACAUGCUAAAUGUCGUGGUGGUGUCACGGCAGAUGCCAUAGGAUGGCUUAACUUGGGGCCGAUAGACGAAGGAGGAACCGGAGGAGGGAGGACGUGAAGAAGAACACGCACGAUUCACACAAGAACACACAGAUUUACCCAGGUUCGGAGCCCUCUUGUCGAGGUAAGACUCCUACUCCUGCUUUGCUGUAUUAGCCGACAUAGGCAAGCUCUACAAAGGCGCUCCUUGAGCUGUAUUCUUGAGGAAGAAGAAGAAGAAGGGGAAACCCUAAAAUGUCUAAGUGCUCCGUCCCCUCUCCAGGGAGGUGCAGUGCUCUAUUUAUGGGCCAGGCAUGUCACACUGACAUGCGGGCCGAGUCUAACGACACCUUCCUUGGGCCCCGCCGGGCACGCGGCUCGGUUCCCUCCAGGCAGUACCGCAGGGGACAAGACAACUUUACUUUUCCCUGCUAGCCUGCAACGGGUACAGCUAUCCUCUGCCGGCUUCCGUCAUAGAUUCCCUUUCGAUGCUUCUCUAGCGUGGUCACCUGAUACCGGUACGUAGACGCUGACUGCUUUUCUGAGAUGAUGAUAACGCUGCUUUACUUUGCACCGCGUGGUCAGGAUAAGACCGUUGAAGGAUCUUGGCACCACCGAGGUCCAGGGGCUCGUCCUUAUCCUGCAAACUUACAAGAUAAGAAAACUAUGCCGGCAUACGCCUGGGAUGCCGGCUUAUCGUUAGUUUAACUUUAUGAUGCCGACAUACGUUGCUAUGCCGGCUUUGCCUCCGUUAUCUCGGCUAGAGUUGUGUCGCCAUGACCCUACCCGGGGUCAUCCCCCCGACACUAGUCCCCGAAGCUGUGGUGGUCCGGCAUAGAAGGAUGUCGGGCUGCGACAGUUUCCCAUAGACAGACCACUAACACCUAUUUGGGUCCAGUCGAGAGGGAUGCCAAGACAACCCCAGGUCCUCCUAGCCGAGAUCAAUUCAUUCCGGGACUCCGGGUUGGCGUGCUUAUGCAGCCCUUAGCCGAGAUUCUUUCUUCUCCAUGACCGACAAUUAAAAACUUACUUCUGCCGACAUAACCGCAGCCAACGGGAGGAUAAGGCUUGAGUUACUGCCACCGAGCAUUUUGAGUUGAGCGUGCUGUCGCGUCGGACAGUAAAGCCGACAGAGCCUUUAAGGAUAGAACUUCGGUUCCCACGCGGACACUUAUCCUCCAGAUCUCGCGGGAUUCUCGGCGGCACGCCGCGCAAUAACCGAGCGUGCGCCUUGAUGAGCAUAACUGCCCAAAUCGUGCGCAAUCUUCCCGUGAGCCACUAAGGUGGUGGCACGGGAAACGCGCACCCCAUUACUUCGCCUCAUAUAUAAAAGGAGGAGGAUGUGGGCAGAAAACCCUUCGCACUCCUCGCUCUCUUCGUCCCUUCGUUCUCCUCUGCUCCUCGCGCACUUCGCCGCCGUCUGCUAACUCCAAGCAUCCCCGCCACCGUGGUUUCUCGCCUCCGAGCUCGCAGCCGCCGCUUCGCUCGCAACCACCUAGGCCUCCGCCACACUAGCUUGCUAGCUCAGGCCUCGCGCAGGCACUUCCCCAUCGAAGCUCCAAACCCUAGAUCUGUUUUCCUUCAAUGGCGUCUUCUUCUCGCAACCCAGCCGUCGACCCUGCUGCCCAGACUGAGGAGAGGACCAGCUCCGAGCGCGCCGCCUGGGAGGGCUUCGACGUGACCCCGGCGGAUAUCGCGUGGCUCCGCCGCUCCCGGCGAAUCCCGGAGGAGGUCGAGUGCCGCAUUCCCGGCGGAGAAAUCGUGCCAACCCCCGAAACCGGUGAGUACGUCGUCUUCCUCUCACACUUUGAGCACGGUUUUGCUCUCCCCGCUAGCGAUUUCUUUAGGACUUUCCUAGAUUUCUUUGGCCUCCAGCCGCACUAUCUUCCGGCAAACGCCAUUCUCACCCUCUCAGCAUUCAUCACCUGCUGUGAGGGUUAUCUCGGCCUCUGGCCAUCCAUCGACCUGUGGUCCCGGUACUUCAUGUUCCGGCCACUGGUUCUCCCCGACAGAGACAAUCCCGGUCCUCCAAAGCCGAUGAUGCAGUGCGGCGCCACCACCAUCGUCCCUCGCCGCAACUCGGAUUUUCCGAGGAUCCAGGGUCUUGAGUCAUGUAAGAAAUGGCUCAAGACCUUUUUCUAUAUCAAGAACUCCGCCGCCACCGACCUCAUCAACCUUUCGGGAUUCGAGGUCGCCCCCCCGGAAGAGAAGAGGAACUGGUCCUUCGACCCGAAGGAUUCUUUCCCGGAAGGUGCCGAGAUCCAUGCCAGGAUCCUUGAGCUCAAGGAGAAGGGGAUGUCGACCGAUGACCUGCUGGCAACCUUCAUAUACCGGCGCCUAUGCCCGCUCCAGCACCGGAUCCACAAGAUGUGCUAUUAUUGUGGCCAAUUUGACCCGGAUAGGGUGUCGACCAUCAAGCUCUCCCAUGCUAAGGUUCGGCGUCGGGUCAAGGCGAUCGCCAAAACUAGCAUGUCGGAGAAAUGGGUGUGGGGUAUGCCGGCAUAUGCCCAGGAUCGUCGCGCUCCUUCGGUAAGCCUUAACUUUUACUCAUUUCAUGCUUGUAUCCGACAUACUGCUAUGCCGGCACUUGUCCAAUAUAAGCUUAUGUCGGUUCAACCCGACUCCUUUGUGCAGAUGUUCUCUCUUCAGCGGAGGGAAGAUGGGGGCUCUCGUGACAAGCGCUUCGCUGCCCCGUGCAGAUCCGCUAACGCCGAGGAUCCAGACUCGGAGGAUUUCAUGCAAUCCCCCAUGCUGGUCCUCGCCGUAUCGAAAGUAAGAACCUUUGACACUCUUCUGUAAUUUCUUCAAUAUCUGUUAGUAAAAUAUUCAUACUUGCUUUUUUCCGGAUAUAGCCGACUCAGGCAAGCCUGCCGCGGCGGCGCCGACUCGGGAGAAUUGCGUUGUCUCAAAGAAGCGCGCCGCCGAGAAGGACCUUCCGGCGAAUGUGAAGUGGAAGAGGGCUGCGGCUCAUGGCCCCAAGCCCAAGCCCUUGGUCGUCGGGUAAGGCCAAUCUCACCUCGAUCGCUUAUGUCAGUCUUCUUCUUUCGUUGUCAAGCAAAUAGCUAAGUUUUACUUCUACAGGGAGGCUUUGACGGCCACACAAUCUCAGAAGUGUAUCGCGUCUGAGAUCCCGGCGACUCGUUCUUCCCGUGCCGAGGCCUCAAACCCGGCUACGGGCGGGAAUGAGACCGCCGGGGGAUGUCGGAUCAAGUGCCAACGCCACGGUCGUCGGCUAGACCGAGAUUCCUUCAGCCGGGGUCUCGGCGACCGAGGCUGCCACCGAGGUAGCCCCUCCCCGGCCGCAGCCGAGACAUCAACGGAGCCGCCGGCCUCCAAGACGCCGCAAGAGCCGGCGACAGGUCCCCAGGACCCCCAAGAGCCGCAGCCGACUCCGACGCCGUCUCCGUCUACGUCGCGGCCGGAGGAUGCCCAAGUUGCUACCGCACAGGCUAAGAAAGCCAAGGGCCCUGCUGCUGCAACAAAGUUGGCAGCCCCAGGCUCCGCUGGCUCGCGGCCUUCCGGCAGGCCACAGGAGGUUCCCCAUCGGACAACCAGUGGGCACAGCUAGGGGUCGUUGGGCCAGUCCGUUAUGGACUGAAACAAUGCUGAUCACUAUGAAGUGACCUCCAGCAGUGUGCAGUCGGCGCGGCAGAGCCCCUUGGUGGGGCCACCGCCGGCAGCGACUCCGGAGUCGAUCUCGACCCGGAUGUACCAAGCCAGGGUGGCUUUGUUCGAGGCCGGCCGAGCCACCGAGGUAUGAACAAUCCUUCAGAAAACUUUAACUUCUAAAUUUAGCAUCGUAUCCGUAUUCCUAGUCCCCGAGGUUUAGGGCGAGUAGAAAAUAGUCGGCAUGAAGCUUAGAAUACUUCAAACAGUUAUUCCCCGAGAUUUAGGCCGGGUUUAGAAUAGUGGGCCUGAAGCUUAGAAUACUUCAAACACUUAUUCCCCGAGAUUCAGGUCGGGUUUAGAAUAGUCGGCCCGAAGCUUAGAAUACUUCGAACACUUAUUCCCCGAGAUUCAGGUCGGGUUUAGAAUAGUCGGCCCGAAGCUUAGAAUACUUCGAACACUUAUUACCCGAGAUUCAGGUCGGGUUUAGAAUAGUCGGCCCGAAGCUUAGAAUACUUCGAACACUUAUUUCCCGAGAUUCGGGUAUUAACUUCCUGCUGCAGUAAUCUUAGCUGUGAAUCACUGUAACACUUAUUCCCCGAGAUUCAGGUCGGGUUUAGAAUAGUCGGCCCGAAGCUUAGAAGACUUCGAACACUUAUUCCCCGAGAUUCAGGUCGGGUUUAGAAUAGUCGGCCCGAAGCUUAGAAUACUUCGAACACUUAUUCCCCGAGAUUCGGGUAUUAACUUCCUGCUGCAGUAAUCUUAGCUGUGAAUCACUGUUUUGCAGCUUUGCAUGAAUAAGCGCACCGCCAUCUUCAAGACUUUGCUAGCGAAGUACAAGAAGUUGGAGGCGGAGCACAAGGCUCUGAAGGCUGAGCGCGAGAGCCAAAGUAAGUAUAUCCUACCGAGAUAAGAUCUCCGUCCGAGUAUCAGUAUUCUGCACCCACUAACACUUGUUCUUGUUCACAGCCGGGGACAACGCUCAAGUAGCGGAGUUGCUAAAGCGCGUUGCCGAGGUUCAAGGUAACAUUUCAUCCUCAGUCCGGGUUCCAUUCAUAUUAAAUGUCAGCCUCUGUAAUCUACAUCCGUUUAAACAGACGAGAAGACUCGGCUGGCCGAUCAGCACCGGGAAGAAAUUACCCGGCUGCAAACGCAGAUCGCGGCGCAGGCUGAGACGCACCAGACCGAGGUGAACCAACUCACCUCGGCCCUCUCUUCCCAGGCCGAUGAGAAAAUCCGCUUGGAAGACGAGGUGGAGAAGGGCAAGGCCCUCGCUGUCCAGCUCGAGACUCGCGCCACCUCCGCCUAGUUGGAGGACGCCGAGAAGGCCGGCCUUCUUAAGGUCCUCCAAUCGUGACAUCAUCAAGACCGACAGCAUGCUGACGAGUAAGUUGAACUUCUUCAUUCAGUUACUUGUUUGAAUAGUAGCACUAACAUGCCGAGAUUGACUACAAUUCCUUUGUUUCUGCCAGAAUUCUUCCCCUUAUCCGUCCAGCAUGCUCAAGAGAGCGUGAGUGUCGCUCGCCGGAAGAGGGAUCCGGCGGUAGCGGCGGGGGAGCCCUACGAAUGGGACUUGGUGGACUACCUGGUGAGCAUCGCGAGCCGGGUUAAGCCUCUCAAGUCAUUCGGCGUCGACAUGCUGGACGCCGCCCUCCAAACCUUCCGCGCGUUGUGGCCCGGCGAAGAGGUUCCGAUGGAGAUCCCGGACCUGGCAAGCCGGCUACACGAGGCCCCGUCCCGGCUGCAAGAAUGGCGGGAGUCGGCUGCACGUGUCGGUGCUGACGAGGCCCUGUCGUUCAUACUAUGCUGGUACGACGGCAUCAACCUCAAUGUGCUGCAGACAAUGGGGGCUGGCUCCCCCCAUCUCUCGGAUCCGGAGUUGGUGGCCAAACGCAAAGAGCGGGCCUACUCCUUCAUACAAUGUGCCGACGUGCAUAAGAUUGUUGAAGGCCCAAUCUCUGACGCCGAGGCUGAGAUGACGGAUGGGGAAGAGGAAGCGGAAGAAAAGAAGAAGCCGUUGUGGAGUCGAGCUACACUGCGCCGAGUUCCCGCACCAAUAACCCUGUUGUAUCUUCUUAGUUUAUUCAUGAAAAAUUGUAGAAUGCUUAGAUCCCUGGAAUGCCGAGUGCAAGUGUAACCGACAUACUUCUAUGCUCUCAAUUUUAACCAAGUCUUUUGUUUAUCAAAUUCCCGACCGAGUCCCUGAGUGCAUUUUUUUUCUCUCAGUAAAAUUUUACAACUUCGGUUCUUUUGUAUGCCUAACCGGCGUUCGACGUAUGAAUCGCAAAGUCAUAAAACCACUCUCUCGAAAAAAAAAAGUAACUUGAAAAAUUCGCUCGGGAAUAACCGAGUUACAAAGAAAUGCCGAGUUAAGAUAACAUGUAUCUCGGAUCGCCUCUUUGCUUGUUUCUACAGUCAUUUUUCAUGUGCUCGGUUAUUUUAUAGCCAUCUCUAGCUUGCCAUGAAGCCGGGUUGCGGACAACAUCGAAGUCAUACAGGAGUUUUUUCAAUACCGACACACUACUAGAUUAACAUAAGAUUACGCAACCAAGCCAUGCUGACAUACAAAAGAUAAUUGUAACAAAGCACUUAAAUUUAAGUCCUCGAGUUUCUUUUAAGAACCCGGCGGAUAAUUUCGUUGUCUUAAUUAAAACAUUCAACAUAAUGAAAAAACAAUACAAAUACUCAGCUCUCAAAUAUAGAACGGACGAAGCAACGCUACAUUCCACGGCCUCUUGGUCUUCUUGCCUGACCGGUCCAUCCUGUUCGCCUUGGGAUCUUGUGCAUCUAUAAGAUAGUAAGAAUCAUUGUGGAGUGCUUUGCUCACAAUGAAGGGUCCUUCCCAUGGAGGUGAUAAUUUGUGCAUGCCGGCUGUGCGCUGCACAAGCCGGAGGACAAGAUCUCUUUGCCGGAAUACUCAUGGGCUGACCUUUCGGCUGUGAUAACGCCUUAGGUACUGUUGAUAGAUGGCCGACCGAGAUAGAGCCAAUUCCCGUGCUUCUUCGAGCAGGUCGACAUCAUUUUCUCAGGCCUCUUUCACCUCGGCCUCCCUAUACAUGGUUACUCGUGGAGAGUCAUGUUCAAUGUCGGCUGGUAGGACAGCUUCCGCCCCGUACACAAGGAAGAAUGGCGUGUAGCCUGUAGAGAGAUUGGGAGUCGUCCUGAGACUCCAUAGAACAUCCAGGAGUUCAUCCAGCCAGCAUCCCGGAGUACGCUCCAAUGGUUCAAUUAGCCGGGGUUUUAUGCCGGCCAAAACCAUGCCAUUCGCCCUUUCAACUUGCCCAUUGGAUUGAGGAUGUGCUACGGAAGCAACAUCCAGCCGGAUUUUCUUUUCAGCACAAAAUCGCGCGAAAGGUCCCUCCGCGAAGUUCGUUCCAUUAUCCGUGAUGAUACUGUGCGGGUACCCAUAUCUCAAGAUGAUAUCCUUCAGAAAUGACACCGCGGUUUUUCCGUCACACUUUUUUAUCGGCUUGACCUCAAUCCAUUUGGUGAACUUGUCGACCAUGACCAGGAUAUGCGUCAUGCCUCCUCGCGCCUGCUUGAACGGUCCUACCAUAUCCAAACACCAGACGGCAAAAGGCCAAGUGAUUGGAAUAGUCUUAAGUUCGGAUGCCGGCAUAUGAAUCUUUCGGACAUAUCUCUGGCAGCCGUUGCACUUUCUGACUAUGUCUUCUGCUUCUUGUAGAGCACUCAGCCAGUAAAAACCAUGCCGGAAAGCUUUGCCCACUAGCGUUCUCGAAGAUGCGUGAUGGCCACACUCUCCUUGAUGAAUAUCCCGAAGUAUUUCUUGUCCUUCCUCCGGCUCAACGCACCGCCGUAGGACGUUAGUGACGCUCCUCUUGUAAAGCUCGCCAUUGAUGAUGGUGUACGCUUUCGCUCUUCUCUAGAUUUGUCUUGCCGACAGUUCCUGUUCCGGGAGACUCCCAUCUUUGAGGUAAGACAUUAUCGGUUGCGCCCAGGCCGGCACGGGGCGAGUGGUGAAGAUCGGCUCAUCUGGUUUGUCUAUCUCCAUUGGUUCAAUCGCCAUUGCUUCCGCUGAGUUAAGGCGCUCAGUCCCCGGGUUAUUAGAACCGUUGCCACUAUCAAUGUCCAUGAGGGUGGCGUCAGCUUCUGAACUUGCCGGGAUAAAUAUCGACUCCGAUUCUGGCGAGGGUUUGAUGGACGGUUUGCGUAAAUGUUCUAACGCCACCCCAGCUGGAAUAGCCUGUCGUGUCGAGCCGAGUUUCGACAAUGUGUCGGCUGCUUCAUUUUCUGCCCGAGGUACAUGGUGAAAUUCACACCCGUCGAAGUGACCACUGAUUUUCUGAACGUGAAACCGGUAUAGCGCCAUAUUGGCAUCCAAUGCAUCCCAGUUACCAGAAACCUGCUGGACAACAAGAUCCGAAUCACUGAAACAUUGGAUCCGCCGAACUCCAAUUUCCUUUGCCGUUUUCAAUCCAUGUACAAGCGCUUCAUACUCGGCCACAUUGUUGGAUGCUGCGAAGUGAAUUUGGAAUACGUACUUAAGCUGAUCGCGCUUUGGCGAGGUCAGAACUAUGCCGGCGCCAAGCCCGCUUUUCAUCUUAGAGCCGUCAAAAUGUAAUUUCCAGUAGUUAGUUUCCGGGGGCGGUGGUUCGUACUCCAUCUCGGCCCAAUCCACCAAGAAAUCUGCCAAAGCCUGAGAUUUCACCGCAUCCCGUCUGUCGUACUGCAGCGCAUAGGACGCCAACUCGACGGCCCAUUUUGCGACUCGGCCGCUCGCAUCUUUGUUACUCAUGAUUUACGAGACGGGUGCCUCACAUAUAACUCGGAUCUGAUGUGCCUCAAAGUAAUGCUUUAGCUUUUUUGCCGCCAUAUAUACGCCAUACGCCAUCUUUUGGUAGUGGGGAUAAUUUUGCUUGGACGACGAUAACACCUCGCUCAAGUAAUAUACUGGCCUCUGCACCGCUUUGCCAUUUUCAUCCCUUUCCACUACGAUGACAGCACUGACAACUCGAUUUGUCGUUGCAAUGUAUAACAACAUAGGCUCCUUCUCCAUCGGCGAAGCUAAUAUAGGUGUCGUAGCAAUCAUCUUCUUCAGCUCUUGAAAAGCUAGGUCCGCCUGUGGUGUCCACAGAAAUUUGUCUGUUUUCUUCAUCAGCUGGUAUAAGGGCAUAGCCUUUUCACCUAGCCGACUAACGAAACGACUCAGCGACGCUAGACAUCCCGUGAAUUUCUGCACAUCUUUGAGGCACUUUGGCAGUUUCAUUCUUUCUAUAGCAGCAAUGUUCACAUGGUUCGUUUCUAUUCCUCGACUUGAUACCAGGAAACCGAGUAACUUUCCUGCCGGCACACCGAAUGUGCACUUGGCGGGGUUCAGUUUCAUUCAGAAUCUCCGCAGAUUUGCGAAUGUUUUCCGAAUAUCAUGCAGGAGCAUGGAGCUUUUCUUAGUUUUUAUGACGACAUCGUCGACAUACACCUGCACAUUUUUGCUGAGUUGAUCGUGCAAGCACUUCUGCAUGCACCUUUGAUAGGUAGCCCCGGCAUUUCUCAAACCAAACAACAUAGUGCGAUAGCAAUAAGCUCCGAACGGGGUGAUAAAUGAUGUCUUUAUUUGAUCAUUAGGGUUCAGCGGUAUCUGAUGAAAACCAGAGUACGCAUCCACAGAAGACAACAACUCACACCCGGAAGUGGAGUUGAUCACUUGAUCGAUCCGAGGUAAUGGAAAGGGAUCUUUGGGACAUGCCUUGUUGAGGCUGGUGUAAUCGAUACACAUGCGCCACACUUUGGCAGCAGUUGGGUCGUCUUUCUUCUUCUCGACCGUUUGCCAGCCAGUCGGGAUGCAACACCUCCAUGAUGAAGCCAGCAGCUAGAAGCCGGGAUACCUCUUCCGAUAUGACUUUCCUUUUGUCGUCUGCAAAGCGUCGAAGGGGCUGCUUCACCGGUCUUGCGUCUGAACUGACAUGCAAUGAGUGCUCAGCUAACUCCCUCGGCACACCUGGUAGGUCUUGAGUUGACCAUGCAAAGAUAUCCCAAUUCUCACGGAGGAAGCUGCUGAGCUCGCCUCCUAUUUCUCCCCCAGGCCGGCACCAAUGAUGACGGUGCGGUCCGGGAACUCUCUGUCGACCUGUAUCUUCUUUGUCUCCUUGGCUGCCUAAAAAGUCACACUUCCAUGAGGAUUGGUCAUAGCCGGCAGGCCAAUCUGUGCCGUCUGAGCCAUCGCAAUAGCUACUUGUAAUUUCUUCUUCUCGCUAGAGAUGACCAGUGACUCGGCCAGAGCAGAUCCUGCCGCCGCGCAUUCAAUUGAACGCUUGUAAUUGACAGAGAUGGUUAUGGUACCAUUUGGUCCCGACAUCUUCAUCUUGAGAUAGUCGAUGUGAGUAGUUGCCAUGAACUUGGCGAGUGCCGGUCUGCCAAGCAGGGCGUGGUGCGGACUGUUGAGGUCCACCACCUCAAACACUAGGUUCUCAGUCCGACAAUUCUCCCUGGUGCCGAAUAAGACGUCCACUCAAAUCUUACCUACCGAAGCACAAGACACUCCUGGCACAAUACCGUGAAAGGUAGUGCGGCUGGGUUCAAGCAUGUUAUCUGUAAUGCCGAGCUUGAGCAUCGUGUCCCGGUAUAGGAUAUUGAUGCUGCUCCCAUUAUCAAUGAGAACCCGAGUGAAUUUGACGUUAAUGUCGGGCCCGAUGAGUAUCGAAUCAACCACCAGGGCGUAUCCACCAGGAUUGGGCAUAACCUUUGGAUGGUCUGCCCCGUUCCAGUUGAUCUCCUGCUCCGACCAAUACAUGAAUUUUGGGACUGCCGGAAUAACAGCAUUGACUUCCAUCUCUCGCCUGUGCUGACUUUGUUUGUCAAUAGGCUCAGCGAUGAAAAUCAUGUAGCUUUGGUGAUGCUCUUUGUAUUCAUUUCUCCCGGCAUACCUUUGGAUUUCUUGUUCCUCAACUUGAUUAACAGCGUUGUUUGCUUGAGGGGGUCCCUGAAUCUGUGCGUUUGCACCCGUGAGGGGUGGAGGUGGGGGUAACCGACUUGCCUCGCCGUUCUCGGCCCGUGGCAUCCAGCUGCAUUGCUGCGUUGUGUGGUUCGCGGCUUGUUGGGGUUAGUCGUUGAAAACGACAAGGCUGAUCCAACAUCACCUCGAAAGUAUACUUUGGCUUAUUUUGCCAGGGCUUCUUUUGUUCUCCCUUCUUGACCCACUGCUGAUUUCCUGUUUUCUGACGCUGACUAGAGCCAGCGUCAGGCUGGUCCUGAACUGCAGCGACAUGGGCUGGCCCAUACCGGUAAUCAGGCCUGUCAUCCCUUCUCUUGUUGCCAUGAUCUUGAUGAUCGUUCCUCCGGAACGCCUCAGCAGGAUUGUAUGUCAGCUGCUCUCUUUGUGGUUCUACCGGCAUCACCGAUGGCUGAGUCGGAUCGCCAAGCGCGUACAUGUCGGUGAUCCUGAUCAUUUUAGAUAGAGUGGUUGGCAUCUCUCUUUGCAGUUUCUGCCACAGCAUGCUGCCGUGCCGACAUCCCUGGGCAAACCACGAUAUGGCUUGCGAUUCCACUAUCCCUUCACAGGAAUUACGGAGAUUGUUCCAUCUUGUCAGGUAAUUCCGGUCAGUUUCGUUGUCUCUUUGCUUACACAUGGACAACUGUUGAGGACGAUUCGGCCUCUCGUAAGGGCUAGUGAAAUUGCUGACAAAUGCUUCCUCAAAGUCUAUCCAGCAAUUGAUGCUACUUUCCGGCAAAUUGUUCAACCAUAUCCUUGCCGGCCCCAUGAGCAUCUGGGGUACAUAACGUAUUGCCCAUCUGCGAUUGCCACCUGCCACGCUUACUGCCGUGACAUAGUCUUCCAGUCAAUCUUCCAGCUUAGCACUGUCGUCAUACGUUCUUGCACCCCUGGGCAACUGAAAACCCGAGGCUGGUCUCUCCCUCAUGAUCCGAUGCGCGAAGCAACGCGGUCCCGGAGGGCCUUGCUCCUCCAGAAGCUCGGACAGAUAAAUUCGAUCAAGCCGAUGUCAUGCAUCCAUGGGCGAUACCUGCCUGUUCCCAAUUCGGCCUCCGAGCGGACCGAGAUUGUCGCGCUCUCGCCUGAUAUAACCCUCAUCAGCCAUGGCCGAGUAUCCGUCAUCGUAACGGUCAUAACGGCGAUCUUCACCUCGAUACAGGGGGUUGCGCCCGACACCCUGCUGUCCCGCAGCAGUAUUAGGUGCCGGACCCCGAGGUCGGUGCCCAUGGUCAUACGAGUAACGCUCCUGCUGAUCUCGGCGGUUGCCGCCGGGACGCAGACCACUUUGGCUAUCAUCAACCCUUCUGACUAUUUGUUUCUCGGCCAGGGCAGGGUCACAGCGUUCCAACUGAUUAUCCCGUCCAGAGUUAACGCUUUUGUCCCGUUUGCCACCAGGUGAGGACGCUUGUUUGUUAACCCGGCCACCAGCAUCUGCAGCCGAGUGGAUGACCUGAGAUGCACUGGGUUUGCCGUGCAUUCUCAAGUAUGCCUCAUUCUGUUCGUUGGCUAUUUGGAGCAGUUAUUUCACGCGCAGCUGCUGCUGCCGAAGUGCCUCUCCUGUAAGAUUCGGCAACUCCUCAGCCGCAGCCUCGGCAGCCCGGAGGUUUUUGACAGGGGUAUUGUAUUUCGGCUUUAGUGCCGAGGCAAAACUUGCCAACACAGCUGGCACACCCCUGCCCUCUCUCGUCAUCUCAGCAUUCAAGUUCUUGCCACGGUUAUGCACCUCCCCAACUCUGCUAGGGUUAGCAAAUGCAAUAGAACUGAGACCAUGAGCUUUGUUAUACUCACGGAGCGAGAUGUCGAGCUAUUGUCGGGCGUUGGCAACGUCGACGGCUUCCUUCAGCAGCUUCUGUCUCUCCAACUCUAACUCCGCCUGCAGCUAGGCCGGGUUAGCAUUCGACGCCACCGGCGCGGUCAGCCGCUCGAUGGAGGCCUAGAUUUGAGUUGGCUUCGGCGGCAUAGCUGAUGUGCCGGCUUGUGCGGCGAUGUUCUCCGGCUUCUCCAAAGGGAGCUUCGCCGUUCUGCCGGACUUGGUUGGGACAGCGCCACGUCCUGCAGUGUCCCUUCCCGCAUCAGCGCCAUGACCCGUCACAAUAACCUCUACACGGUCAGCGGGGCAGUCGACAUGCCGGCCGCGAGACGUGCAGAUGGCGGAGGGAUCUUCAGCCAUCACCACCUGCUUUGGGUACCUGCAAGGGCUGUCAGUAGCAACAUAGACCUCGUGCAUGCCGAAACUGAUGAAGCGGCCUGCACAGGGAAGCGGUGUGCCGUUGAAGCAGCCCGCGUUGUUGUCGAUGAAGCCCAGAGAGCCGAAUCUCUGGACCAAACCGGAGACCACGCGCUCUCCGGUGACGAGGAAGCUUCCCGUCCGGAUGAAAACUCCAGCCAGCGCCGCUGCUAGCGCCACGGUGGGCGCCAACUGUCGUGGUAAGACUCCUACUCCUGCUUUGUUGUAUUAGCCGAGAUAGGCAAGCUCUAAAAUGGCGCUCCUUGAGCUGUAUUCUCGAGGAAGAACAAGAAGAAGAAGGGGAAACCCUAAAAUGUCUAAGUUAUCCAUCCCCUCUCCAGGGAGGUGUAGUGCUCUAUUUAUGGGCCAGGCAUGUCACACUGACAUGCAGGCCGAGUCUAACGACACCUUCCUUGGGCCCCGCCGGACACGCGGCUCGGUUCCCUCCAAGCAGUACCGCAGGGGACAAGACAACUUUACUUUUCCCUGCCAGCCUGCAACGGGUACAGCUAUCCUCUGCCGGCUUCCGUCAUAGAUUCCCUUCCGAUGCUUCUCUAGCGUGGUCACCUGACACCGGUACGCAGGCGCUGACUACUUUUCUGAGAUGAUGAUGGCGCUGCUUUACUUUGCACCGCAUGGUCAGGAUAAGACCUUUGAAGGAUCUCGGCACCGCCGAGGUCCAGGGGCUGGUCCUUAUCCUGCAAACUUACAAGAUAAGAAAACUAUGCCGGCAUACGCUCGGGAUGUCGGCUUAUCGUUAGUUUAACUUUAUGAUGCCGGCAUACGUUGCUAUGUCGGCUUUGCCUCCGUUAUCUCGGCUAGAGUUGUGUCGCCAUGAACCUACCCGGGGUCAUCCCCCCGACAGUAAACUACCAGAAUUAAACGACCAAGAUUAUCUGCCGCAACGAGAGCCUGGCGACAAGUUUUUCCAAGAAGCUGGCGGGGACACAAGUGAUUUCGUGGUACGGUAUACCGAUUCUCCGGGCACGGAAGUAGACAAUGACGGUGAAGGUGACGAGGUUGAUGGUGAUGGUGACGACAACGAUGAGGAACAGGCCAAUGUUGAUAGUGAUGUUGAGAGUGAUCUUGAUGCGGCUCUUCUAGCUGAUCCCGAUGACGAAGACUACAAUCCACAUGCCCAUACUUAGUUGUUUCUUUUGUUUACAUCAAGUUGUAAUCCGUCCUACUUAAUUAGUUAGUUCGUUGUCUCCCAACUUUACUGUAUUGUACAUCAAGUUGUUUCAUUUGUUUACAUUUAGUUGGUGUUUCUUUUAUUUACAUCAAGAUGUUGUUUCAUUUGUUUACAUCUACUUGUAUAAUCCGUCCUAUUUAAUUAGUUAGUUCGUUGAAUCUCAACUUUACUUGUAUUGUACAUCAAGUUGUUUCAUUUGUUUACAUCAAGUUGUUGUUUCAUUUAUUUACAUCUACUGUAUAAUCCGUACUAACUUGUUCACUUUUCCUCAUGGAAGGUGAAUGAACCAUGGUGGGCGGGCGUAGUACCUCUCAGAGGCGUGUAGAAGAGCUAUACCCUCCGCCUAAAGUGAAGGCCAAACCCCCGAAGAAAACCCUGCACAUAAAGCAAAGGGCAAAGACAGGAGGGAGCCCUCUCCCUCGCCGCCGCCACUCGAUCCACUGUACGAUCCUGAGGAUGACAGGGAGGAGGAGAUUCAGGAGGAGGUGAGGGAGAUGGAGAUGGAGGCGGGGGACUUUGGUGAGGACGAGCUGCAGGAUCACUCUGUUGGUACCUCCGGGAGCCUCGGCGGGGGCUGCCUCCAGCUCUGGUACAGACAAAGUGUACCAGCGCGGUCCUACUCAUCUCCCCACCAAGCGGCCCUCUUGUGAAGCUGAGAAGUCGUUCAUUCAUCCAACAGCCAAGAUGUACAUUUCUUGAUCCUAGAAUUCACUUUACAUCAAAUUGUUGUUUCAUUUAUUAACUGCAAUUGACUUGUCUUAUCCUCGUGCAGGGGCUAGGUGGUUGUUGCACCCGGGUGUUUUACGAUGCAACCCAAGGCUGUGCUUGGGGUCCUCCUCAAGGACCACUUCCCUGGCAUGGUUCUUCUUGAAGGAAAGGAGGAGCGAGAGGUAGCCCGGACAUGGGCACACUACGUGGCCCAACCGGACUUUCAAGAUAGAGAGAAUGUGGUGUAUGCGAACAAAGCCGAGCGGGUGAAGGGCGAAUUUUGGGUAAGUCGCCUUCGCACAAUGCAUACAUUAGUCAAAACAAUUGUAAUGCAAAAUAUAUAACUCACGAAUGGAUCCGUUUUGCCUAACUGCAGCGGUUCUUCAAGCUGGCGGAAGGCAUUGAUGAUGCAACAAUUGCACGGCACUUCGAGGCAAGUGUGAAGAAGGCAUUGUCCGAGAUGUUCUAUCACGCGCGUGUCUACGCCGUGAGGAAGUACUAUGCCGAAGUGAAGAAACAGAGAUUGGACAAGGCACAAUGUAUCGUGACGCAUCUCGAGCACGAAUAGGACAUGCAGGUAAAGUAAAAUAAAGUGCAUUUCCUUGCUUAAUAAGGGCUAACGCUUAACUUCUUCGUGUUUGGGCUUGUACUUGUUCAUUUAGGUUCCUCCGCACUAGUGCAUCUCGCACUUAAAUGCCUGGAAGGCGCUGGUGGACUCGUGGUGCAGCCCGGAGUAUGUGGAGACUCACGGGCUCCUUAGGGAGAGGAGGUAGGCGAACCCAAGCGGAAUGCACCAUCAAGGGAGCGUGAACCUGCAGGGCUACAUCAACAACUAUAUAUGUGUUUUUCUCCCAAAAAGAUCUUCAUGUGCGAACCUCACCCCUAACUAUCUUGUUGUUGCUUGUUGUUUCAGGCGAAGGCUCAUCCGGAUAAAGAACGCCUCACCAGUUUCACGGCCGUUGACUGCACCCUCAAGGGAAAGGAGAGCACCGUGUCGGAAUACAGUGCGAAAGCCCCGCCCGAAGCCUACGCCACCCCGGCUGACCAUGCCAAGGUCACAGGCUACGCGGAGGUGUUUGAGGAGGUGCACGGCCUUGCCCGGGGCUGAUCCUAGCCAGCACAACCUGGAUGUGGAAGUGGUCGUGAGGGUGGGAGGAGGCAUGAAGCACAGUAGGCUGGUCUUCGGGAAUGGAACCAUUGAUCCGAGCACCAUUCCCAGCCUACCUAAACUGAAAGCUACUUCCACGAGCUCGAGUGCUAGUAUACGCAGUCGUCCAGGUGCACGGCAGUUCUCACAGCAGGUUAGUUGUUCUUCAUUCACCAUCUCGUGUCUUUUCGCAUUUCAUUGUAACGACAAUGAACUUGUAAUGGCAUUGCAGGAGGUGGAGGGUAUGGUGGCUGCUCAGGUGCAGGCUCAGGAUGCUCAGAUCCAGGCUCAGAUCCAGGCUCAGGUGGCGGCUCAGGUCCAGGCUCAGAUGGCUCAGAUGCAGGCUCAGAUGCAGGCCGCACUGAGGGCUCAGUACGACCACCUUAGGGUAUGUUUACCGCACAUAAUAGCCAGGAAAGCAUGGUAUUAGUUCCGUAACUGCAACUCUCUGUAUUUUCAAUAUGCAGCCGUACCUCACCGCCACCUCUCAAGAGCCGCCUACAGCACCACCGCCGUUCGACUUGGCGUUUGUCAAUCUCCAGAUUGAGCAUGCUCCACAACCUUCUCCACAGACUCCGGUGAGUUCACUUGAAACAUUUCAAUCUCCAUUCAUGACUUUCUUGAAACAUUUCAAUCUCCAUUCAUGACUUUCUUGCUUUCCUAAUCAUCUGUGCAACAGCAUCAAUCCGGGCGUGACUCGAACGACCCUUCUUCACACACAAGCCUUGCUGGAGGCAACCCUCUUGGCCAGUCACCUGCUCCUAGGCACUGACUCGGGUAAGUUGCCACAAACUUGUCUCAUCUCGAGAUCCGUUGUUUUGAAAACUUACUUUCUUAUCUCCACUGGUAGAACUGCGUAACCUAGCAUCACAGAGUGACAUAGAUCCCAUUUAGAGCCAAGAGGGCUCACUUGGCUCCAAAAUGGUGCAUUGGUGGCAUUUUUGGGCAUUUGGCUCAUUUAUGCCACCAGGGCACCAUUUUGGAGCCAAAUGAGCCAUCUUGGCUCCAAAAUGGUCUCUUGGUGGCAUUUUUUGGCAUUUGGCUCUUUUAUGCCACCAGGACACCAUUUUGAAACCAAAAGAGCCAUAUUAGCUCCAACAUGGUGCCUUGGUGCCAUUUUUGGGCCACUUGGCUCCAAAAUGCCACCAAGGCAUCAUUUUGGAGCCAAAUGAGCCAUGUUGGCUCCAAAAUGGAGCCAUGGUGGCAUAAGGAAGCGAAAUGGCUCGUUUUGUAGCCAAACUGGUGCCUUCGUGUCAUUUUUGUGCCAUUUGACACAUUUAUGUGACCAAUGCACCAUCUUGGAGUCAAAUAAGCCAUAUUCACUUCAAAAUGGUGCCAUCAUGCCAUUUUAGAGCAUUUAGGGGUCAUUUGGCUCCAAAAUUGUGACUUGGUGGCAUUAUUAGAGCCAAAUGAGCCAUAUUUGCUCAAAAAUGAUCCCAUUGCACCAUUUUUGAGCCAAAUGGCUAAGUUCCGCUUCAAAUAUUACAAUUGUCACUUCAACCUUUCUUUAUAUCUAAUUAUGUUAUUACAACUCCAUUUCAUAGGUUUCUACUGGUGCAAUGGGUAGUGGAUGUUGAAGGUGCCCGAUUCACCAUUUUGUCGUGUAUGAACACUAGCUUGUAAUAUGUUGCUACCAUGUGAUGAACACUUCUAAUACUUUUGUUGUGAGAUAUGUGAUGUUUUCGGACUUUCAUGAGAUGUUUAUAUGGCUGUGAUGUGAAUGCGUUAUGUGGAUGUGUCGAUGAUUUUGUGUGGAUGUAUUACUGUGAUGUGGAUGAAUAUAUAUCUGUAUAUAUGUGCUGUGAAAAUAUUUCAAAUUGCUGCGAUAAAAAAACAAAAAAAAAUACCCUUUGCCGGCGGCCAAAGGCCUGGCCACCGGCAAAGGCUGAGCACAGGCACGCACCAGAUCAUGCCACGUGCCCGCCCUUUGCCGGCGGCUUUUUCGCUGGCCACCAACAAAGGCCCGACAUGUGGGCCACGUAGUGGCACGCGCGGCCGGCCCGCGGCGUGCCACGUGCCCACCCUUUGCCGGCGGCUUUUUCCCUGGCCGCCGGCAAAGUCCCGACAUGUGGGCCGAGCCGUUAACGGCACCGCAUGUCGUGAUCUCCUUUUCUUUGCUGGAGGCCGUCGUUUCAGCCGCCAGCAAAGGAUUCGCCGACGGACCCGUGAGAAAGCCGCCGGCAAAGAGUUAUUUGCCGGUGAAUCUCCGUGCCGACAGCUUUUUUUCGGGGCCGCCGGCAAAGGCUUUGCCGGAGGCAAAGGUGCCUUUGCCCGCGGCCCUUGACCCCCGGUAAAGCUGCUUUCUCCCAUGGUGCGGGCGGGAUACGGAGCGAUAUACUGAGCAGUACAGAAGCUGUAUCUCCUGAUCUUUACCCGUCGAUUUAAAAUCUCUUUUAACUAACCUACUUGCACAUCAAGAAAUAUCUACAACAGAUACCGAACUCUUUUAACAGCUACCUAACCUCGUUAAUUGUGUUCCUCUGCUUGUCACCGGGCAGGGCCGUGGGCCGUCUCCGAGUCCAAUCGGGAGUCGGGACCCAACGCGGUAGGGUGUCCCUCCCUACAUAUCACGCUCGGGCUCCUCCCCUCCAAACCUCCUAUCCCAUCUCGAUCGAUCGCGGUCUUGCCAAGAAAUAACAACAAUGCUGGCGGAACCGCAGUUGCACGAGUCGCCUUCCGAGACCCGCGUGGUCUUCAGGAUGACGCUGUGCGAGACCAGCGAGGACCCGCUAGCGCCGUGGCCACCCGAUUACCUCGCGGUGUUCAUCCGGUACACCGCGACCUUCCGCUGCGAGGCCCGCUUCACAGGAGGAAACAUCCAGCGAGCCGCCGUUACCCACGACCACGAGGAUGCCCUCGUGUACCUGUUCGAUGCCGAGGACCUCCGGAGCGAGGCCGCCGUCCGCAAGGAACUGAGGAAGCUUCUGGAACUCGCGGAGCGCUAUGGCUACCGCACCGCCGACGAUGGCGGCGAGGACGCCUUCGUGCCCCCCGGCCUCGUUGACAGAAUCCUCGCUGGCGCCGCCGCUGUUCCUGCAUUCGCCGACAACGACGACGACCCUGAUCUCUGGACCGUCAGGCACAUCUGCGACGUCUCCAUCGAAGUGGACGUGACGAACGUGUACGACGAGACGAAGGCUCUGAUACUGUUGUGCAGCGCCGUGUCAGGACCAGGGCGCCGUGAUGUCGGCAGCCAGCAGUGCGCGGCCUGCACGGAGGAGCUGGCGGCGGACGAUGCCACGAGUUUUCCUAAAUGCUCGCACGCGUUCCACGGAGGGUGUAUCCUCGACUCGCUCCGCAGGGCGCCCACCUGCCCGGCCUGCCGCCAUGACUUAAUGCAGUAUCUGCCUCACCAAUGUGGUGUAUGCCGGGCGUAUACUGAUACACAACUUUUGCAUACACGUAUCUGUACCUUGUGCGAUUAAACACAAUUAUUCCUAGUAGUACAUUUGUUGUAAGCAUAACUUUUUUUUUGUUUUCGUUAUACAUAUAGUUAUGCUUGAUAUGGAUUAAGGAGUUCGGUAGGUUUUGCUUAGUCCUGAUUUAAUUAAGCUGUUUCAUAAGUACAAAUAAAUUGCACUGCCAAGUGAGUACCAGUACAUACUGUCUCCGUUUUGAUAUAGCAUGCACUGUCCCUAGAUCGCUAAUUCGACCAAUAUAACGAUAAAUUGUAUAUCGUAAACGUCAUACCACUAGAAAACAGAACAUUGAAGUUUCUAAUGAUAUAGUUUUUGUGAUAUAAAACUAUUUCUAAUUGUGCAUAUGCCAAAACUAGAUCACAGGUCCCCAAUUUCUGUCAAUAUAUUGUCAGUUACAAUGAUAAUUUAGUUUCACACAACUCAAGAUAACCUAUGGAGGAGUGACAACUCAGAAACAUGAUUGUUGGUAUCCCUUCCUUUGUUUGAAAAAGGAUCUCGGUACCCAUUUGAUUUAACUUAAACCGACCGUUUAUCUAAGUUGUAUAUAUAGUGGAUAGUAUUCAAAGCAAACUGGCCUUUCAUCUGAUCCAUUUAUUUUGAGUCAAUUUCAAACUUUUUUUUUGACGAAACAACCAUCAACGGGUUAUUUAUUGCCAAAGAACCGUUCGACCGCGGAAGAAAUGGCCCGUUUAUAAGGAAAAACACAAAAAAAAAACACUAGAGCUUGGAGGUAGGGUUAGAGGUCUAGAAAACUAGAAAAACAACCUAAGAAACAUCAUCUGAUUCGGAAACGAGAGCACCCAAACCCAAGGUCACUACAUGGUGCAUCUCAAUUACAACCUGCACACUCACUCCACCCUUGAAAAUCUCCUUGUGCCGACGACUCUCCAUCCGAAUAGCGCUAAUCCCUAGCGACGAUAAAGGCCCACAACCAAAGAGACUCCUAAAACAAUUGUAAAAGGUCACAUGCUUAUACAUUUACCGUCUGCGUAUCCGACAAUAGAUCAUCACAAGUGAGCCCUGAAGCCGCGAGGUCCACUUGUGCCUUUCCGCUGACGCCAGCCAAGACGUGAAUCGCCUCGAUCGCCUCGGGCAUGAGCGGCUUCUUGUACAUCUCCAAGUAUGCCUUCAUCCUCUUCUCUGCGCUCUCCUCGGAGUCAUUCUCCUUUUCCUUUCCAAUGGGCAUUUCUCCAAAUGCCUCCUCUAGCCUAAUCUCAGCCCGCUUGGCCACCGGAAUAGUGCAGCCUUUGUUUUUCUUGACCAGCUGGCCGCUGCGCCGCACUGUACGAUCAUCCGCCUUGAAUUGCUAAGGCAUGGGGGUCCCGAGCACAGAGCAUUGGGAUGUGCGAGUAAACUUUUUGAUGAACUCUGCCACGGUGGUAGGCGAUGCAUCAUCUUGUGUCUCACCAACACCCACCGGUUUCUCAUCAGGAGCACCAAAAGCCUUCAUCAUGCGUACCACAUUGAAACCACCAUUCUUCUUGGCCUUAUGGGAGGAGGUUGGGUACUCCACCUGAGGUGGCAUCUCAUCAAGCGGGCACGACAUCUCCAUGGGAGGGGCGAGCUCAGUGCAUGACAGCGUAGUAGACGGAGAACACUGAACAUCAGAAUCCAGGGAGCACGGAUGCAAAUCCAGCACCAACUCAACAGGAUGCGCCACUGGCAUAACAGUCUCAUCAAUCGCAGCAGGAGCCCGGAAAUGAGGAGAGCAAGGGCAAAAAGACAAUCUGCCCCCUCGUCAGUGAAGUCGACAGCAAGCUCUUUCGGCGGGUCGAAUAGAGUUGGAGAAGCCUGCGAAGCAGCUGCGCUAGGGGCAACCUCCACCUGCACAACAGGCACAGGGGCAACUUCCACCAGCUUACCAAGAGUGACCUCGGAACGCUCCAGGAGAGUUUCCAAUUGCAAGACCAAACUCUGUAUGGAGGCGGCGAUAUCACGCAGGGGCUAGACAAUCUCCUCCAGGCAAACAGUCGUCGUCUUUUGCAGCUCGACACGCAGCAGUUCAGCCUGCACAGGGAUAAGGGACUUCAGAGCAACCUCAAUUGCCGCCGUGACACCAGCAGAAGCCGCAGGCUCGACCAGCACCUCAGGAGUAAGCUGCUUCUCAGUAACAAGCUGCAUCGCAGGCAUGGCAGAAGGCGCAACAACAGAGGCCCAAGAGCCCCAAGAGCGAGGCAGCAUGCAGUCCGGCGGGGAAGGUCGACGAGCCUCCAGGUGAGCUGGAAGGUGCCGACGGCAGUCGCGCUGUUGAUGACCCGAACAAAGACAAGCAAGACAAUGAACCGGGUCACGACAGGCCAAGACGAAGUGGUUAGGAGCCAGGCACCGAAAGCCCCUGCCAUGCAACUUCUUCAAGAAGGCGAGCCUGUUGCCAGAAUCCUCCCUCGGAGCAGGAGGAGACGGCCUCACCUGCUGCGGG
This 35733-nucleotide long non-coding RNA is filed under the name Brachypodium distachyon (stiff brome). RNAcentral's name for it is "long non-coding RNA (BDIS_LNC003515)". The stretch from base 1039 to 1163 matches the Rfam family "MIR1120/MIR1122 microRNA precursor family". The record is from RNAcentral. Lineage: Eukaryota; Viridiplantae; Streptophyta; Magnoliopsida; Poales; Poaceae.